AGAGUUUGAUCCUGGCUCAGGAUGAACGCUGGCGGCGUGCUUAACACAUGCAAGUCGAGCGAAGCAGUUAAGAAGAUUCUUCGGAUGAUUCUUAACUGACUGAGCGGCGGACGGGUGAGUAACGCGUGGGUGACCUGCCCCAUACCGGGGGAUAACAGCUGGAAACGGCUGCUAAUACCGCAUAAGCGCACAGAGCUGCAUGGCUCGGUGUGAAAAACUCCGGUGGUAUGGGAUGGGCCCGCGUCUGAUUAGGCAGUUGGCGGGGUAACGGCCCACCAAACCGACGAUCAGUAGCCGGCCUGAGAGGGCGACCGGCCACAUUGGGACUGAGACACGGCCCAAACUCCUACGGGAGGCAGCAGUGGGGAAUAUUGCACAAUGGGGGAAACCCUGAUGCAGCGACGCCGCGUGGAGGAAGAAGGUCUUCGGAUUGUAAACUCCUGCUGUUGAGGAAGAUAAUGACGGUACUCAACAAGGAAGUGACGGCUAACUACGUGCCAGCAGCCGCGGUAAAACGUAGGUCACAAGCGUUGUCCGGAAUUACUGGGUGUAAAGGGAGCGCAGGCGGGAAGGCAAGUUGGAAGUGAAAUCCAUGGGCUCAACCCAUGAACUGCUUUCAAAACUGUUUUUCUUGAGUAGUGCAGAGGUAGGCGGAAUUCCCGGUGUAGCGGUGGAAUGCGUAGAUAUCGGGAGGAACACCAGUGGCGAAGGCGGCCUACUGGGCACCAACUGACGCUGAGGCUCGAAAGUGUGGGUAGCAAACAGGAUUAGAUACCCUAGUAGUCCACGCCGUAAACGAUGAGAACUAAGUGUUGGAGAGAUUCAGUGCUGCAGUUAACGCAAUAAGUUCUCCGCCUGGGGAGUAUGCACGCAAGUGUGAAACUCAAAGGAAUUGACGGGGGCCCGCACAAGCGGUGGAGUAUGUGGUUUAAUUCGAAGCAACGCGAAGAACCUUACCAGGCCUUGACAUGGAUAUAAAUGUUCUAGAGAUAGAAAGAUAGCUAUAUAUCACACAGGUGGUGCAUGGUUGUCGUCAGCUCGUGUCGUGAGAUGUUGGGUUAAGUCCCGCAACGAGCGCAACCCCCGCCGCGUGUUGCCAUCGGGUGAUGCCGGGAACCCACGCGGGACCGCCGCCGUCAAGGCGGAGGAGGGCGGGGACGACGUCAAGUCAUCAUGCCCCUUAUGCCCUGGGCUGCACACGUGCUACAAUGGCCGGUACAGAGGGAUGCCACCCCGCGAGGGGGAGCGGAUCCCGGAAAGCCGGCCCCAGUUCGGAUUGGGGGCUGCAACCCGCCCCCAUGAAGUCGGAGUUGCUAGUAAUCGCGGAUCAGCAUGCCGCGGUGAAUGCGUUCCCGGGCCUUGUACUCACCGCCCGUCA
This 1378-nucleotide ribosomal RNA is filed under the name uncultured bacterium. RNAcentral's name for it is "bacterial SSU rRNA". It matches the Rfam family "Bacterial small subunit ribosomal RNA". The record is from RNAcentral.